GACGAACGCUGGCGGCGUGCCUAAUACAUGCAAGUAGAACGCUGAAGGAGGAGCUUGCUUCUCUGGAUGAGUUGCGAACGGGUGAGUAACGCGUAGGUAACCUGCCUGGUAGCGGGGGAUAACUAUUGGAAACGAUAGCUAAUACCGCAUAAUAGUAGAUGUUGCAUGACAUUUGCUUAAAAGGUGCAAUUGCAUCACUACCAGAUGGACCUGCGUUGUAUUAGCUAGUUGGUGAGGUAACGGCUCACCAAGGCGACGAUCCAUAGCCGACCUGAGAGGGUGAUCGGCCACACUGGGACUGAGACACGGCCCAGACUCCUACGGGAGGCAGCAGUAGGGAAUCUUCGGCAAUGGACGGAAGUCUGACCGAGCAACGCCGCGUGAGUGAAGAAGGUUUUCGGAUCGUAAAGCUCUGUUGUAAGAGAAGAACGAGUGUGAGAGUGGAAAGUUCACACUGUGACGGUAUCUUACCAGAAAGGGACGGCUAACUACGUG
RNAcentral lists this ribosomal RNA (495 nucleotides) under uncultured bacterium. RNAcentral describes it as "partial 16S ribosomal RNA". It matches the Rfam family "Bacterial small subunit ribosomal RNA", at positions 28 to 507 of the family's 1533-position model. The record is from RNAcentral.